GCCGAUAUAGUGUAAUGGAUAGCACAUGAUCCUUCUAAGUUCAGAGCCUAGGUUCGAAUCCUAGUAUCGGUG
RNAcentral lists this transfer RNA (72 nucleotides) under Providencia phage PSTRCR_127. RNAcentral describes it as "tRNA-Arg". It matches the Rfam family "tRNA". Rfam says of the family: Transfer RNA (tRNA) molecules are approximately 80 nucleotides in length. Their secondary structure includes four short double-helical elements and three loops (D, anti-codon, and T loops). The record is from RNAcentral. Lineage: Duplodnaviria; Heunggongvirae; Uroviricota; Caudoviricetes; Pantevenvirales; Straboviridae.